This is an RNA transcript of Asparagus officinalis (garden asparagus), 1623 nucleotides long. It is a transcript of the gene named protein WRKY1-like, with no coding region annotated. The record is from RefSeq and is a predicted model, not a curated record. Lineage: Eukaryota; Viridiplantae; Streptophyta; Magnoliopsida; Asparagales; Asparagaceae. The transcript has 5 exons.
AUAUAAAAUUGGAGUACAAUAAUAGUAAAUGAUGGCAAUUUUCUUUAGACUUUGGUCUUCCCCUUCACACCUUCCGAUCCUUGGGCAGCCAUGGGAAGCCCAACUCUCUAGGGUUUCUACAAAACGAAUCCAAGACCCUUGAAGGGGUAUUUGAGAUUGGACCUGUGAAUCUUACUCUGGGAGGCUUCAAAUGCUCUUGCUGCUGAGAUUUUGGCUAUUUUAGGGUGUUUCUAUGAAGAUGGAGGAAGUUGAAGAAGCUAACAGAGCAGCUGUUGAGAGCUGCCACAGGGUUCUCAGCCAUUUGUCUCAGUCCAAAGAUCAAGUUCAGUAUAGAAAUCUAAUGGUGGAAACUGGAGAAGCUGUUUCCAAGUUCAGAAAAGUUGUGUCUUUGCUUGGUAAUGGAGUGGGCCAUGCAAGAGUGAGAAAAUCAAAGAAGACCCAUUCAUUCAAUCACAAGAUAUUUUUAGACAAUCCAUUAGUAGCAUCUAAACAAACCACAUCAAUUCCCAACCCAGCUCAACUCAUCCCAAGAACUCUCCUAACAAUCUCAACCCCAGACUUGGAUUCAACUCCUAAACCCCCUCAUCAUCACCAUCAGUUCUCUCACAAGAUGUUUCUCGAGAACCCGAUGCUCGAGCAACAUCACAAUUCUUCCUCUUCCCAUUCCCACCAUUUUCAGUAUUUACAGCACCAGCAGCAGCAGAGCACCCACCAGAGAUUUCAGCAUUUUCAGCAUCAGAUGAAGCUUCAAGCUGAGAUGUUCAAGAGGAGCAGCAGUGGCAUAAACCUCAAGUUCGAUAACUCUAGCUGUACUCCGACUGUGUCAUCGACGAGAUCUUUCUUAUCUUCGCUUAGUAUGGAUGGGAGUGUAGCAAGUUUAGAAGGAAAACCAUUUCAGCUCAUCGGUGGAUCUCAGUCAUCGGAGCCCGUGACUCUUCACCCUCCACCAAAGAGAAGGUGUACUGGAAGAGGAGAAGAUGGAAAUGGCAAAUGUGCAACUAGCGGGAGGUGCCAUUGUUCUAAGAGGAGGAAGCUGAGAGUGAAGAGGUCGAUCAAGGUGCCUGCUAUAAGUAACAAGCUAGCGGAUAUCCCUCCUGAUGAAUACUCAUGGAGGAAGUACGGGCAAAAGCCAAUCAAGGGUUCUCCGCAUCCUAGGGGGUACUAUAAAUGCAGCAGCAUGAGGGGGUGCCCUGCCCGAAAGCAUGUGGAAAGGUGCGUAGAUGACCCAUCGAUGCUCAUCGUCACAUACGAGGGCGAGCACAAUCACACCAGGUUACUAGCUCAAUCGACCACCACGACAUAGCAGGUCCUCAUCUCAAAUCACAAAGAAGAAGAACAGGAGUUGAGCAACGCCGGAACUGAAUGCUAGUUGUGCAAAUGUGAGAAAAUAAUCUCUGGCCGAGAUGCUGAUGGUGUCUGUUAGGAGGAGAGCAGCCUGUGCUCUGAUCACUGAAAAUCUGUAGUGUCAGACUGCCAGCUCGUACUGGAUGUGUCUCUGAACAAAGUGUCCUUGACUCUUCUGUGGAUGUCUCUUCUUCUCACAUGACUCUUCUCCAAUUAUUAGCCAUUUUAUAAUGUUCAAUAUCUUGAGUUUAUUAUUAUUAUUAUAUAAUAAUUUUGUCU